GUAGGUGGCAAGCGUUGUCCGGAAUUAUUGGGCGUAAAGCGCGCGCAGGCGGUCCUUUAAGUCUGAUGUGAAAGCCCACGGCUCAACCGUGGAGGGUCAUUGGAAACUGGGGGACUUGAGUACAGAAGAGGAAAGCGGAAUUCCAAGUGUAGCGGUGAAAUGCGUAGAGAUUUGGAGGAACACCAGUGGCGAAGGCGGCUUUCUGGUCUGUAACUGACGCUGAGGCGCGAAAGCGUGGGGAGCAAACAGGGAUUAGAUACCCUGGUAGUCCACGCCGUAAACGAUGAGUGCUAAGUGUUAGGGGGUUUCCGCCCCCUUAGUGCUGCGGCUAACGCAUUAAGCACUCCGCCUGGGGAUACGGCCGCAAGGCUG
RNAcentral lists this ribosomal RNA (372 nucleotides) under uncultured organism. RNAcentral's name for it is "partial 16S ribosomal RNA". It matches the Rfam family "Bacterial small subunit ribosomal RNA", at positions 527 to 896 of the family's 1533-position model. The record is from RNAcentral.